CCGUACGAGCGCACCCUUAUCCUUACUUGCCAGCACUUCGGGUGGGAACUUUAAGGAGACUGCCGGUGACAAACCGGAGGAAGGAGAGGACGAUGUCAAGUCAUCAUGGCCCUUACGGCCUGGGCUACACACGUGCUACAAUGGGGAGUACAGAGGGUCGCGGAACCGCGAGGUGGGGCUAAUCCCAAAAAACUUCUCGUAGUCCGGAUUGGAGUCUGCAACUCGACUCCAUGAAGUCGGAAUCGCUAGUAAUCGCGAAUCAGCAUGUCGCGGUGAAUACGUUCCCGGGCCUUGUGCACACCGCCCGUCAUACCAUGGGAGUGGGUUGCACCAGAAGUGGCUAGUUUAACCUUCGGGAGAACGGUCACCACGGUGUGGUUCAUGACUGGGGUAGAGUCGUAACAAGGUAGCCGUAGGGGAACCUGCGGCUGGAUCA
Molecule: ribosomal RNA, 436 nt
Filed under: uncultured Gammaproteobacteria bacterium
Lineage: Bacteria; Pseudomonadati; Pseudomonadota; Gammaproteobacteria
Description: bacterial SSU rRNA
Rfam family: Bacterial small subunit ribosomal RNA
Source: RNAcentral